This 648-nucleotide ribosomal RNA is filed under the name Salmonella enterica subsp. enterica serovar Infantis. RNAcentral's name for it is "partial 23S ribosomal RNA". It matches the Rfam family "Bacterial large subunit ribosomal RNA", at positions 2156 to 2803 of the family's 2925-position model. The record is from RNAcentral. Lineage: Bacteria; Pseudomonadati; Pseudomonadota; Gammaproteobacteria; Enterobacterales; Enterobacteriaceae. RNAcentral also lists the same sequence under 1 other name.
UUUGAAGCGUGGACGCCAGUCUGCGUGGAGCCGACCUUGAAAUACCACCCUUUAAUGUUUGAUGUUCUAACGUGGAUCCGUAAUCCGGGUUGCGGACAGUGUCUGGUGGGUAGUUUGACUGGGGCGGUCUCCUCCUAAAGAGUAACGGAGGAGCACGAAGGUUGGCUAAUCCUGGUCGGACAUCAGGAGGUUAGUGCAAUGGCAUAAGCCAGCUUGACUGCGAGCGUGACGGCGCGAGCAGGUGCGAAAGCAGGUCAUAGUGAUCCGGUGGUUCUGAAUGGAAGGGCCAUCGCUCAACGGAUAAAAGGUACUCCGGGGAUAACAGGCUGAUACCGCCCAAGAGUUCAUAUCGACGGCGGUGUUUGGCACCUCGAUGUCGGCUCAUCACAUCCUGGGGCUGAAGUAGGUCCCAAGGGUAUGGCUGUUCGCCAUUUAAAGUGGUACGCGAGCUGGGUUUAGAACGUCGUGAGACAGUUCGGUCCCUAUCUGCCGUGGGCGCUGGAGAACUGAGGGGGGCUGCUCCUAGUACGAGAGGACCGGAGUGGACGCAUCACUGGUGUUCGGGUUGUCAUGCCAAUGGCACUGCCCGGUAGCUAAAUGCGGAAGAGAUAAGUGCUGAAAGCAUCUAAGCACGAAACUUGCCCCGAG